AACGUGGUAGGUUAGUAGAAUUAGGUUAAGGUUGGGAUAAUUAACGUGGUAGGUUAGUAGAAUUAGGUUAAGGUUGGGAUAAUUAACGUGGUAGGUUAGUAGAAUUAGGUUAAGGUUGGGAUAAUUAACGUGGUAGGUUAGUAGAAUUAGGUUAAGGUUGGGAUAAUUAACGUGGUAGGUUAGUAGAAUUAGGUUAAGGUUGGGAUAAUUAACGUGGUAGGUUAGUAGAAUUAGGUUAAGGUUGGGAUAAUUAACGUGGUAGGUUAGUAGAAUUAGGUUAAGGUUGGGAUAAUUAACGUGGUAGGUUAGUAGAAUUAGGUUAAGGUUGGGAUAAUUAACGUGGUAGGUUAGUAGAAUUAGGUUAAGGUCAGGAUAAUUAACGUGGUAGGUUAGUAGAAUUAGGUUAAGGUUGGGAUAAUUAAUGUGGUAGGUUAGUAGAAUUAGGUUAAGGUUGGGAUAAUUAAUGUGGUAGGUUAGUAGAAUUAGGUUAAGGUUGGGAUAAUUAACGUGGUAGGUUAGUAGAAUUAGGUUAAGGUUGGGAUCAUUAACGUGGUGGGUUAGUAGAAUUAGGUUAAGGUUAGGAUCAUUAAUGUGGUAGGUUAGUAGAAUUAGGUUAAGGUCAGGAUAAUUAACGUGGUAGGUUAGUAGAAUUAGGUUAGCUAAAAAUGCUAAAACUGUCCCGAUGCGACUUGGACAUAUCUAGCUAUACAACCAGGCCUGCCCUGAGAACAAUCUUGGUUUCCACAACUACGAUGCUGCCUCAUGACACAGGGGACGGAUUGAGAGACGGUGCUUGAAGGAGAAACUGAGUUGAAUCAUUUUGUCCACUGUUUAAAUGGAGCACAUCUAAGCUAAAUAUAUAUACAGUGCAUUCGGAAAGUAUUCAGACCCCUCGACUUUUAAAAAACAUUUUUGUUACGUUACAGCCUUAUUCUAAAAUGUAUUAAAAUAAAAUCUUCAAUCUACACACAAUACCCCAUAAUGAUAAAGCGAAAACAAGUUUUUAGAAAUUUUUAAAAAUAUAUAACUGAUAUCACAUUUACAUAACUUUUCAGACCCUUAUUAACUCAGUACGUUGUUGAAGCACCCGUGGCAGCGAUUACAGCCUCGAGUCUUCGUCGGUAUGACGCUACAAGCUUGGCACACUUGUUUCUCCCAUUCUUCUCUGCAGAUCCUCUCAAGCUCUGUCAGGUUGAAUGGGGAGCGUCGCUGCACAGCUAUUUUCAGGUCUCAUCACUUCACCAAAGAGAUGGUGGCAGGUUAACUAUUUACCAAGAGACAAACAUAACAACCAUAAUGUCUAUUUACC
Molecule: long non-coding RNA, 1309 nt
Organism: Oncorhynchus keta (chum salmon)
Lineage: Eukaryota; Metazoa; Chordata; Actinopteri; Salmoniformes; Salmonidae
Exons: 5
Source: RefSeq, a predicted model, not a curated record